CUAUUAGGUUGGUGCAAAAGUAAUCGUGAUUUUUGCCAUUAAAAUUAAUGUCAAAAUCUCAAUUACAAAAAUCGCAAUUACUUUUGCACCAACCUAAUACAUCCCA
MicroRNA precursor from Chlorocebus sabaeus (green monkey), 106 nucleotides. Lineage: Eukaryota; Metazoa; Chordata; Mammalia; Primates; Cercopithecidae. The record is from Ensembl.